UGAAACAUGCAAAGCAAAUUUCUAGUUUUGGGGGUGUUUGGUUCGGGAGCCACCACCGGUUCGUGUCGGGACCGGAAACCACGAUCAGCCUUGCACAGUUCCCGGCUUCCAGCCGCCGCCGCCGCGGGGAGCACCGGCCGUUGGUUCUUCGUCUCCGCCCCGCUUGCGAGAAGAGCGACGCGUUUCCCCUUCGAACCCUCGUGUAUCGUGGGUCAUGGUGACGCCUCGUGGUAGCGGCGGGAGAUGGUGAAGAUAGUGACGUACAACGUGAAUGGGCUGCGGCCGCGGGUGGCGCAGCACGGCUCGCUCCGCUGCCUCCUCGACGCCCUCGAUGCCGACAUCAUCUGCUUCCAGGAGACCAAAUUGUCAAGGCAGGACCUAUCUGCGGAUGUAAUUAUGGCUGAUGGAUAUGAGGCUUUUGUUUCAUGCAACCGCUCUUCAAAAGGCCGUGGAGCAUACUCUGGUGUUGCAACAUUUUGCCGAGUAACAUCAUCAUUUUCCAGCCAGGAGGUUGCUUUGCCAGUAGCAGCUGAAGAAGGCUUUACUGGACUUCAGGACUAUGCAAAAAAUAGUCAAACUGUUGGGGAUUUCAGUAUUGCAAUGCCUGUUGAGGAGGAGGGUCUUGGUGAACUCACAAGAGAGGACCUCUUAAGGGUGGACAAUGAGGGGCGGUGCAUCAUCACUGAUCAUGGACAUUUUGUUCUUUUCAACAUAUACGGCCCAGCUGUUGACGGAGAUGAUAAAGAGCGUGUUCGUUUUAAGCUACUAUUUUACAAGAUACUGCAGAAAAGAUGGGAACGUCUAUUGGCUCUUGGAAAGAGAGUUUUUGUUGUUGGUGAUUUGAAUAUUGCUCCUGCUUCUAUAGACAGGUGUGACGCGGCACCUGGCUUCGAGAAGCAAAUGUUCCGGGAAUGGCUGAGAUCCAUGCUGAGAGAACAUGGAGGUCCCUUUUUUGAUGCUUUUAGAUCAAAACACCCUGAAAGGACAGGAGCAUAUACUUGUUUUAAUCAAAAAAUUGGUGCAGAAGAGUAUAAUUAUGGUUCUAGAAUAGACCACAUUCUCAUUUCCGGUUCCUGUCUCCAUCGCUGUGAUUCUGUGGAGGACCAUAGCAUUUUUUGUUGCCAUGUAGAAGAAUGUGAGAUAAUGAAUCAUUUCAAAAGAGGGAAUUCUGAAAAUUUAUCAAAGUGGAAAGGGGGAAGAAGCAGUAAGCUAGAAGGAUCUGAUCAUAUUCCAGUUUAUAUUUUACUGAAAGAAAUACCUGAACUUCCGGUCCAUAAUAUCCCACCAUCAGCUGCAAGAUAUCUUCCAGAGAUCCGUGGAAGGCAACAAAGUAUAGUAUCGUUCCUUGAUAAAGGGAAAAUUUAUGAGCUGCAAAAUGCUGCAAAUUUGAUUCAAUCUGAAGAUACAGUACUUGAUAGUUACUGUAGUGAUGGCUUGGAAAAUACAAUUCUAGCUAAGAAAGGACUGGCAACUGGUAUAACUGAGUUUGCAAAAGGUGGUAACCUUCCUAGUUUGAUGUGCAAGGGGACAGAUCUGAAUCAAUGGAUAAAUGAAGGUUUAAUGGGCAUCUCUCAUGUCAGCCAGAAAAAAUCACUGUCUAGUACCAAGUUUGUGCCACAAAAGAAAAUUAAACGCAACUUAUCAUCCCAACCAACAAUCAAGUCAUUUUUUCAAAGACCAGGGUCAAAGACAGUAAAUGCUAGUACCAGUACCUUAGUUACUCCAGCAGAAACAUUAGACCUUACAAAUCAAGCAUGUGUUUCAAAUGGUGAUACACUGCCUGAAAACAUGCAGUGCACAACUUCAGCUGCAAAAGUUCAGGAUAACACAGAUGCAUCGUCAUGUUCACUUUCAACAGACAAGUCUAAUGCUGCAGCAUUGGAGUGGCAGAGGAUACAGAAAAAGAUGAAGAUGACACUACCACGUUGCAAAGGGCAUAGUGAACCAUGCAUUCCGAGGUCUGUGAAGAAGGGCCCUAAUAUAGGCCGUUUGUUCUAUGUCUGUGCUCGUGCUCAGGGACCUGCAUCAAAUCCAGAAGCCAAUUGUGGCCACUUUCAGUGGGCACCUGGAAAGUCUAAAGAGAAGAGCUCUAAAGAGAAACGUCUGUGACUUCAUUUUUCUCCCAGGAAUCCAGGACAUUUUGCUUCCAAUGAGUCUGGUACAUCACCUUGUCCCAGCAUACUGAUGACGUGGCGAUGUAUUUGUGGAGAGGUAAGCUGAUCAAGGGCCUGUUUGGGAGGUCUGGCUCUGACUGGCUCCUUGCUCUAGUAACCGGAGGGGCCACAAAACGUGUCUUCACCAGCUCCCCAUUGUUUUGAAAAGGACAGAAAACAACUUCAUGAACAUUGCAGCCACAGUGCCAUGGAUAAGCUACAGUAGCGCAUCAGCUGGAACAGCCAAGAGCUGUCCCAAACGUGGCCUGAACAAGCACUUCUCUCAGGCAGGAGCAGUUGAACGCGGAGCACAUCUGCACAGGUUGUGUUUUGAACACGUGGAAGUCAAAUGAUUGGAAGCAGGUUGACCUUUGCUGUUUUGUGUGUGUGAAGACUAUCCUUUCCUGUAUGCAUGAUGGAAGACAAAAUUUAUGAUCAAAGCAAACGAAUAGUGACGACUGUUGGGGCGAAGGCAAAGACGCCACCCUUCGCUCGAGGCCUUCGCUGCAGUCGUUGGUCCAACGGAGAUAAAACGGACAGGGACACCCUUCGCCCCACAUGACAUCAGACGAAGGCCUGCGACGAGGUCAUUCCACCAUGCGGCCUUGUCCAACUCGGAGGCCCACGUGUGAUCCGGCCCAUUGUAACGGGCUCUGCGUGGCCGCUGCGUAUUACGGGCCUAAUCUGUAAAGGCAUCCCUGUAAUUACAGUCUGUAACCCUGCUUUAUGAGAAUAUUCUGGGGAUAACCUAAGUGUCUGAGGGCACAUGCGUCCUUAACACGAGACGCUGGGUGCUCAGACACCUAUAAAUACCCCCGCACAGUGCCCGUGAGAGACUAGGUUAACAGAGCUAUUGCCAUCUUGCGCGAGAACC
Molecule: RNA transcript, 3027 nt
Organism: Zea mays
Lineage: Eukaryota; Viridiplantae; Streptophyta; Magnoliopsida; Poales; Poaceae
Gene name: DNA-(apurinic or apyrimidinic site) lyase 2
Exons: 12
Source: RefSeq, marked validated